RNAcentral lists this ribosomal RNA (481 nucleotides) under uncultured bacterium. RNAcentral's name for it is "partial 16S ribosomal RNA". It matches the Rfam family "Bacterial small subunit ribosomal RNA", at positions 28 to 507 of the family's 1533-position model. The record is from RNAcentral.
GAUGAACGCUGGCGGCGUGCUUAACACAUGCAAGUCGAACGAAGCACUUUAUUUGAUUUCCUUCGGGACUGAUUAUUUUGUGACUGAGUGGCGGACGGGUGAGUAACGCGUGGGUAACCUGCCUUGUACAGGGGGAUAACAGUUGGAAACGGCUGCUAAUACCGCAUAAGCGCCCAGCAUCGCAUGAUGCAGUGUGAAAAACUCCGGUGGUAUAAGAUGGACCCGCGUUGGAUUAGCUAGUUGGUGAGGUAACGGCCCACCAAGGCGACGAUCCAUAGCCGAGCUGAGAGGGUGACCGGCCACAGUGGGACUGAGACACGGCCCAAACUCCUACGGGAGGCAGCAGUGGGGAAUAUUGCACAAUGGGCGAAAGCCUGAUGCAGCGACGCCGCGUGAGCGAAGAAGUAUUUCGGUAUGUAAAGCUCUAUCAGCAGGGAAGAUAAUGACGGUACCUGACUAAGAAGCACCGGCUAAAUACGUG